RNAcentral lists this long non-coding RNA (4873 nucleotides) under Sus scrofa (pig). RNAcentral's name for it is "lncRNA (ENSSSCG00005040575.1)". Lineage: Eukaryota; Metazoa; Chordata; Mammalia; Artiodactyla; Suidae. The record is from RNAcentral.
ACGCAGGUGAUGCCCAAAGAGAGUAAGUAAAUCAGGCUCCUUCAUGGAGAUUAUUAAAAUCAACACAUACUGGGGAUGCUCAUGUUUAUUCUUCCCAGAAGCAAAUCAGGAAUUAGGGAAUAUCUAAUAAAGAAUAAAAAUUAAGUCUAGUCCUUUCGGAGCCCCCUUUAUUCCUAAAGUUUCUCAAAGAAAGGUCAGCGGCAUCCUGCCCUCUUCUGCGAUCACCUCUCAAACGGAGACGGUGGCGGCGAAGGGCCGGUUGCCACCAGUCCUUGUGUGUUUUCUCAGGGGAGAGUGGAAUUUGGGCCUAGAACGAAGCAAUCAGGAAUGUAGUACACUCCUUUGUGUGUUUUUGAGUUUCUCUCUUAUGUCUCUCUUUUCAAAAGUGUGGCCCCUUGAAUUUCUUUGAAAAGUCUCUUUCUCUCCCUCUCUCUCUCUCUCACUCACACACACACACAUCAUUCCCUUGACCUCUAACAGACCUUGAACAAGAUGAGCUGGGGCUGAGUUAAGGACUCUUUCAGCAAAGGCACAGAGAACAUAUGUGGGGGAGAACAUUUUAAAUCUGUUUCUUAGAGAGCCUACAACCACUGGCACCACCCAGAAGUAGAAAAUCAGCCUAGAACAGCAGCAAAGGUUAAUUGUUGGCCUCAGAAGGCUUUCAAGCUCCUCUAGCAUCCAGAUACUCUUCACAGUCCAUAGCCCUAAAAUUUCAAAAGAAUGUGUAUAUACAUAUAUAUGUAUAUGUAUGUACAUAUAUGUACAUAUACAUGAGACUGAGUCACUUUUAUGUACAGUAGAAAUUGUCACAACAUUGUAAGCCAACUAUACUUUAAUAAAUAAAUAAAUUUCAGAGCAAGGAAGGAGGAAGCCGACCCUUUUCCAAACUUUCCAUUCCCAGAAUGUCCUUGGGAAAGAGAGAGGGACAAGAGGCUCCUUGCAGAGUCACUCUUGGGGAAAAAAAUCACUUGCCCAAGCAGAGGACAAUCUCAGAUUACAAAGCGGCGGUUUUAUGAAGGCUUAGUGCCAGGUAAGAGAGCAAGAGCCUGCCUGAGGCUGGAGCAGGGGGAGGGAGGACUGGACCAGCCUCGCCUCCCAUGACAGUUUCUCAGCACCGCGGACAGCACCCAUACCCAGAAAGGGGACCACAGGCUUGGAAGAGGAUGGAAAGGCCAGAAGCCCAUCCUUUUACUCAGCAAAAGUCAGGAGAGAGAAGAGUCAAGAAAAAGUUAGUACAAAGGUCAAGAGGCAUGACUCUGACAAUUGUCCUGCUAACUACAGACUUUUAACACAUCUGGCUGAGUAAAGGAAAGACAACAUGGACAAGCGUGACGGGGUCUGCUUGGCAAUAACACCCAGUGUUUUGUGCCUUAUACAGAUGACAGGUGCUCUGUUUUGGUGAGUGAUGCACUCCCACAUGAUGCUAUUUGAGAUCAGAAGAUGUAGCAUCUUUCAGUAGCACUGCUCCGGAGACUCCCAAUUCGAAUGUCAGAUUUUCCAUCAAGUUGAACCUACUUGGACAGACUCUUAAUCUCCCUAAGUAUCAGUUUCCUCCUUUGUAAAAUGAGGAAGAGGCAUGCCUACCUUAUGAGAUUGUCACAAAAAUCAAAUAGCAUGUUGUGUGUAUAGAUACCUCUCAAUCACUUUCAGUUGAAUUCUAACCAUUUUAAAUGUUUGUCAUGCUGGCAUAAAGCACAAAUGAACUCCCAUAAGAACUGGUUAUUAUUAUGGUUGUUUUGGUCCAGAAACAUGGUCCCAAUUGACCCAUUUUCCCAAAAAGACGGACAGUUGCGGAGGCGCCCUACGUGAAGAAUCUCUGGUUUACACAUGAGAAAAGAGUUUGACUAAAACAGAACUGCAGCUUUUCAACACAGUCCAAAUCUAUAUACGUAUACAUUAAAAGUCAUGAGCAAUAAAACAAUGAGAUGUACAUCAAAUUUUAAAUUAUAUCUUGAAAAAAAUAACUGUGGAGAUGGAAAAUUUCCUAUUUGAAGCUCAAGGCAAUAGAUUUGCUCUCCUUUCACCCUAUUUCUGAUAUCCCCUCACCACUGCAUGUUCUCUUUUUCCUGCUGGAGCUAUGGGAUUUCCAGCACAGUUUUAAAUCGUAACCUCAAAGAGCCAGCAGUCAUCUGCUGCUAAUGACACUUCUUUCCACAGGGAUUAUCAUGUUGUGCCAGUUCUACAAAAUUGUUAACAUAAGGGAAACUGACCUGAAAAUCAUCUUGCUCUAGCUAUGUUGUUUUAUGGAGGAACCAACACAAGAAAACAGCUUCACUUUGCUGCCCAAUUUUAAGGUCACCUUGGGACGUGAGAGUUGGCAGGGGUUUUUUUGUUUGUUUGUUUGUUUGGGGUUUUGUUGUUGUUGUUGUUGUUGUUGUUGUUCUUUCCAAGGGCAGGAAGAAGAGAUCAAUUUUAAAAAUAAAAAUAGUUGUUGGUACUCUGGUCAAGCCAUUUCUCCCUCUGAACAUUUUGCUCCAAAGCUGACUGAGGAAGUAUAGCCAAAAUAGAAGGCCAAGUGGAAAGAGUCUCUCAACGAUGUGGAUAUUACAAGAAAGCAUCCUGUUCCUCUAAGAGUAUUCCUCCAUCUCCACUCAUUAAAAGACUGUAAAAUAAAUGUCUCCAAAAUCUGCCACCGACUGUAUACUUUAACAGAAGAGAGAAUCAGCCAAAACAAAAAGCUUAAAAACGCAAUUCAUUGCACUUUUCAGGUUUAACUUAACAAGCAAUCAUUUGAUUGUCUACUUUCUGCUCAGCCUGGGACCAGGCACAUUAAAAUGAUUAUACUGUGAGGGCUAUGCAGCUCCCGCCUCUGUGGCCCUUCAGCAUGGAAUUAGUUCAGCUGAUAUGUUUCCACCUCUGCACCACCCCAAUUCCUAACCUCCUUUCUCUUCCCUCCCAGGAGUUCUCCAAGCUAAAAGGAAGCGCUUCCAUGUUUCAGCCUUGCCUCAGAUUCAGCUCAGAUGGAACCGCAAACACAGGCUCCAUUUUUAAGCGGACCCAUCCAAAGAUCCUGUUUCUACUUGAUGAAAUUAAAAUCGCAUCCCCUGGACCUAUAGACGAGGGCAGUGGGUUUUACGCCAACCCCAGACUCCGAUUUCCAGGACCAAUCUGGCAGCUGGGGGAGCGCGAGUAAAGCAGGAAACCACCAAGUGGCUAGAGCUGCCUCACUCCCGCUUUUCUGCCCAGACCAAGAGAUGGGGCAGAGAAGGCCGCUGGAGGGGGAACUGAUGGGGAGGAGGCAAGAUGAGAGGGUGGGAAGCAGAAACACAGUCAAAGCCUUUUCAGUUCACACCGGGGAGAGAGCCCUAAGAAGUGAAAAGAAACCUUGAGAUCCGCCCAGGCCAUUGACACACGAUUGGGGGGCGGGGGGCGGGGGAGUGUGGAAACAGGGCACUCAGACUUUAAUUAGCCAGACUGCGAGCGGGUUAAUUAAAACCAAUUCCGGUACCAUAGGCCCUGACUCCUUCAUCCGUUUUAACAGAAUAUGGGCGGGCGGCUGUUGGCCUUAAACAUCCACGCAUUGGCGUCGGCCAGGACCACGGAGAGCUGCCACCCCAGGUCCUUCUGUCCUUCGCCCUGGGCUGUUCCAUUUCCACCGACCCAACUGUGGCUGCCAAAUGGAAUCUGCCUCCUCUUGCUUUGCUCCCUCCCCACCCAUCCCCGGGGUGACUUCUGGGAGCCUGGAGUCUGGCCUUGAGCUAAGAGCCCUAUGAAGAGUCAAAGCCAAGAGCCAAGAAAGGGGAGCCCCGUAAGUACGGAGGUCUGCAGCGCUGGGAGCUCAGCUUCAGCACCAGAGAGGCAGCACCCAGGGAGAUGACAGAGGGGAGAAGGUGGAGGCAGGACCCAGGAGACAGCAGGGCGGAGGUUAUCCUGCUUUUCUCCCCAGGGCAGCUGGACAAAGUACCCCUUUGGCAAGGUACCCCUUCCCUUCUAGGUGAGGGAAGGGAGAGAGAUGUGUUAGAAGCCUCUCUGCACAGUGGAGCUGGGAUGUCCCAGGAAGGUAAGCUCAGUAUCUCUGUUUUCCCCUCCACACAAGUUUCCUGCCCCUCUUAGCUCUCGGGGUGGGGUGGCCAGAUGUGGAAUUCCUUCACCCCCGGUCUCCCAUCUCAGGAUCCCAAUCGGGUGGUCUCCACACUCCCCAGUUCCUCUCUUUCCAGAUGCCACAAUCCCCAGGUCCUGAAGAAAGAGCUGAGAGGAAGGCUGGGGGUUGAGGAAUGGGGGUUCCUGCCUUUUGCUGGAAGGUGAGAAGGGAAAGUGAGAUCCGUCUGCUUCAGAUGGGUCUUCUCUGCUGGCUUCCAUGCUAAGUGUAGAGGCAGAGCUCGAAGAAGAGAAAAAGUCUUCCUGUCCCUCCAAGACUGAAGAAGCUUUCCAGAGAUAAAGCCGUUGUUGGAGGAGCUGGAGCUUUCUUGGUGUGUGCGUGGCUGGUGAGUGGCAGGAAGCAUGGAGGCAUAUUUCAGUUCUGCUGAGCAACACCUGCUAAGGUUUAAGGCUCUGUGAACCCCCAAAGGACUCAGGGCUGGUCCAGGAGACAGUGGCCAGGGGAGAAGGCUGGACCUAUGACGAGGUGGGGGUGGGAGGAGAGACGAUGGAGGAGGGACGAUGCCCACUGGGGUUUCUUCCUGGUUGGGUAUCAGAAUGGGAAUGCAGACACAUUACUUCCCGUAGGGAUUUAUAGUUUAAAUGACUGCUACUGGUUGUGGGCAUCUAAACAAGAGUCAGAAGAAAGAAGUAUUUGUGGAAGGGAGUCUAGAAUUCUCAAAAAUAAAUAUUCUGUUCUGCUUUAUCUGGGUGGUUCAAGGACGGAAAGUCACAACCAUCUGACACCUUCAGGCAGGUGCUAAAUGCUCUAAAAAGACAUGAAGUUGGCAGCAAA